GGAAAACAUACGGUAUGUGGUAAUCAGUAGCCGAAAUGCUUGUGCUUCUUGCUCGAAUGGUAAGUGUGAAAUCUCGAAUUGAACCAUGUGUAAUUGUGAAUGGUUUGAAUUACGAGAUCUUGAAGGACCAAUCUGUUGCUGAUUGCAAUUAGAGUGUCUAACUAAAAUGAUAAAGACAUUGACCAAGACGACAUUAUCUCACUCGCACAAAGGUGGCUAAGUAAACCUUGAAAUUCAAGAGGAAGUAAAAUGAUGUUGGUUGCCUUCCAUUUUCUCUUUGCGCUCAAAGGACAAGGAGUGAAACUAAUAAAAACUAUUAAAAUUUAAGUAGAUUGUUUAUAAAAACAAGACAAUAGAGCAGGGAUCCACAAUUUAUUCAAGUAAAACGACAAUGACCCAAAUUACUGUCAAGUCCAUUGAAUAAUGCAUAUUUACCGAUUGAUGGCGUAACGUACCCAAGGCCGUGUGUGAUGGAUACCUAUGCAGUAUGUGAAGGGAUAUAGAACAAAGAUUUUUUCUGAAGGUAAACACCAAGACCGACCCACCUACUCGCUUACCACUUCCCCAAGACAAACUUGUUCAGUUUACAAGUCUGGUAAUCUGAAAUAAACAGUGUAGAAGUUCAUCAAGUAAUAUAAACAUAUUUCAAUCAUCCUUAAAAUAUGAAUCUGUAAACAAUAGUAGGAAAUAACAAAUGUUUGUAGUGUUUUUAAUAUCUUCGUACUUUGCUCCGUGAAUAAUUUUGUGUUUAUCAUCAUAAGGACAUGAUAUAAGGAGACGCGAACGCCGAUAUUUAAAUUACUUACAUUCCAACGCUAAAGGGAGACGCACUAAAAUGCCAUUAAAAAUUAUAAACGCUCUAGUUGAACAGUUCUGUGGUAAGACAUCCAAUGUUCAAUUACCCUCGCAAGAACGACUUAAUUCGUCCAAGUCGCUGAAGGAAAAAGAAAGUGAGACCUACUUUUGGAUUAUGUGGCGGUGGUGAAUAAUGGAAAACUAUGUUUCGCGAGUAUUUGCCCAACGAGCCAUUGUGGUUGCUGUUUAUCUACGCGAGUACUUUAAUUUUGUGUAGUCCCGUGUUUUUGUUGAUUCUUUUAUAUUUGCCGCACAUACCAAUUAUUUUAAUAAGAAGGAUUUGUUACAUUCCAUUCGAAUCCAUCUGACACCAUCGAUGGUAGUUGCGUAUAUCUUAGUUACCUGUAAUUUUGUACCUACGUUUAUUUAUGAGACUAAAAAGAGAACUGACAAUUGACUGUAAGUAAUAAUAAUUACGAAGUAUGUGAUAUAUCUAUAAAUAAAUUAUGUAAGACAGAUAAUAAAUACAAUUCGUUGAUAAAGUUA
Molecule: long non-coding RNA, 1341 nt
Organism: Photinus pyralis (common eastern firefly)
Lineage: Eukaryota; Metazoa; Arthropoda; Insecta; Coleoptera; Lampyridae
Exons: 4
Source: RefSeq, a predicted model, not a curated record